RNAcentral lists this transfer RNA (88 nucleotides) under Calditrichota bacterium. RNAcentral's name for it is "Calditrichaeota bacterium tRNA-Ser". It matches the Rfam family "tRNA". Rfam says of the family: Transfer RNA (tRNA) molecules are approximately 80 nucleotides in length. Lineage: Bacteria; Pseudomonadati; Calditrichota. The record is from RNAcentral.
GGAGAGAUGGCCGAGUGGCUUAAGGCAACGGUUUGCUAAACCGUCGUGGGCAAAAUGUUCACCGGGGGUUCGAAUCCCCCUUUCUCCG